UCGGGGUUCGGCAAGAGCAGUUCUGUGAGCUGGCGGAGCCUGGCGUCUGCCUGCGUGACGUGGAGGAACCGCAGGCGGCGACCGCGGACAGAAUGUACAGCCAUGUAAGACAUGCCUGUGCCUGCUUCCCCUUUGCCUUCUGCCAUGACUGAAAGUUUCCUAAGGCCUCCUCAGAAGCCGAGCAGAUGCCAGCAUCAUGCUUCCUCUAAAGCCUGUGGAACCAUGAGCCAAGAUUUUUCAUGGGCCGAUCUGCUGAAUUCAGCCUAGGAGCUGAGACCAACAUCUGAGUCUCUUCAGCACACAAGUUUGAAAGAAGUCCUAGCAACUUCAAGCUCAGAACUACGGGUGGCAGCAGCUCCCUCUUGACGUCGAAGCCUCCCAUUCCAGAGAGAGUCAAGGCCUGGAUCAAACAAAGCCCACAAGCACCGAUGACUGAGCUGCUGACUACCCCCAGCAUCUCCAACUCAACCUCCUCUUUCUGCCUCUACCCAAAUUUUAAAACUUUCAAACAUGGGUUUAAAAAUGGUAAUGAGUAAAGUUGCAUCCAAGUGUAUCAAAUAAAACUAAAUAUCCAUAAAUGCUGUAAUAAUUCCUGCUUUGAUGCUGAACUAAAGAAUUUUCUGCCAGGCGUGGUGGCUAACACCUGUAAUCCCAGCACUUUGGGAGGCCAAGGCAGGUGGAUCACGAGGUCAGGAGUUCAAGACCUGCCUGGCCAACGUGGUGAAACCCCAUCUCUACUAAAAAUACAAAAAUUAGCUGGGCAUGGUGGCAGGCAUCUGUAGUCCCAGCUACUCAGGAGGCUGAGGCAGGAGAAUCACUUGAACCCGGGAGACAGAGGUUGUAGUGAGCCAAGAUGGCACCACUGCACUCCAUCCUGGGCAACAAGCGAGAUUCCAUCUCAAAAGAAAAAAAAAAAAGAAUUUUCUGUUUAUAUUACAUAUAGUCUCACUUCAUAUUUCAUUUCUCUCACCUCUGAUACCUGGAGUCCUUUGCUAGUACUGAAAUUGAGUAAAGUCAUUCUCAUGAGUUUUAGUAAACUCAAAACUCAAAACUCAUGAAGUUGGCAAAACUCAAAGAAUGCUUUGGUCUAGUUUGACAUUGGCCAGUAUGUUUUUCAUAUCCAGUCAUUCCUUUUUUCCUGGCUGACAUCCUCACUUCCUGCCUGUGGAGGAAAAGUUAAAUAUUAAAUUUGAACUCAAUUGAAUGUGGACACAAACAAUGGUCACCAAGUCCGGGAACAGGUUGUGUGAGUCCCUUGAGGCAUUUAUCCUGCCCUGUUUCGGAGAAAUCUCUAUUUCAAACUAUUCCUAUGUGUUACUUACUGAAAAACAACAGACAAUCGCAAAAACAAGUUGACCUUUUUGUGUUCCUUGAGCCCAGUCACAAAGGGCCCUCAUGACUGGGCCUCAUGCCAAACAACUUGUUACAAAAAGAGCUAGGGUCCCAGACCGCACCAAAGACCCAUGAGACCUCUCCUCGUCUGUGCACAGACUGGUGGCCGACUCUGGAGCCCAGGCUGUUGCUUCCUGGUCUGGUGAUGAAUCCUCCAUAGUCUGGAAAGGGGUCUCCAGUCACCUCUCAUGAGGAGACGCGUCCCACUGCCUCAUUGAGGUGGCCUCAGGGUGAAGAAUCAGGACCCACCUGGUGCAACGAAUAAACCCAGACUCUCAGCAUCGCGAGGAGAAAAAGUCUUGCAACACCGUGGCGACCAAGUAACUCUGUGCACAUACUAAGCUGACGGCGAUGCUGCUGUGUGAGGAUGCCCUUUGAGAAUCCCUGCUACAAAGCCCCUGCCAGUGGAGUGGCAUUGCUGUGUGGUGGCCUUGCACUGCGGAUUGCCCACCGGAGGGAUGCUGUGUGAGCACUGGCUGUGUCACCCUGCCACUGUGUCUCUGCUUCCCUGGAAACAUGCGUUUCUCCACUUUCAGGCAGAAGCACCAACUGCUCCUGUGAAUUAAUAUGCUCAUUUAAUGCUCAUUACAUUUAAAUUUUGUCAUUGAAAGGGCUCAUUUUCCCAUACUGGACCGUGGCCCUCUCCCUGCUCACUUCUUUAGAAUAAAGAAGAGCAUGAGGCUGGUGAAGGGGACUGAUGCAUUAUUGCACUGGCUCUGUCUGUGGUGACAGGCUCACAAAAAUACUGUCACCAUGGUAUUUCUCAGCAUUUGCUACAUAGGAGGUUUUUCAUACUUCAGGAAACAUAUUUACCAUUUUAAAACCAAAGACAUCAGGGUCCCAUCAACAUCUGUGAUUUAGCUGUUACUAAACAUUGUAAAUCUAUCAGUGUCUUGUUCCUUGGAAGUAGAACACCUACCACUGGACUCCCUUUACUCUAAUUAACCAAAGGCACCCCACAUGAGUGGUUAAUAACUGGUUG
Molecule: long non-coding RNA, 2374 nt
Filed under: Homo sapiens (human)
Lineage: Eukaryota; Metazoa; Chordata; Mammalia; Primates; Hominidae
Description: HSALNT0151584
Source: RNAcentral